This 77-nucleotide small nucleolar RNA is filed under the name Sorghum bicolor (sorghum). RNAcentral describes it as "Plant small nucleolar RNA R71". It matches the Rfam family "Plant small nucleolar RNA R71", at positions 1 to 79 of the family's 107-position model. Rfam says of the family: R71 is a member of the C/D box family of snoRNAs containing the C (UGAUGA) and D (CUGA) box motifs. Multiple nearly identical copies of this snoRNA have been identified in Arabidopsis, and it is thought to function as a 2'-O-ribose methylation guide for 18S ribosomal RNA. Lineage: Eukaryota; Viridiplantae; Streptophyta; Magnoliopsida; Poales; Poaceae. The record is from Rfam by way of RNAcentral.
AUUCCAUGAUGGGGGCAUUCUAGGAUGUAGUCUUGGAAGCGCUCCCAUGCUUCUGGAACGGAUUCAUCAUGUAGGUU